This 319-nucleotide long non-coding RNA is filed under the name Elaeis guineensis (African oil palm). RNAcentral's name for it is "long non-coding RNA (EGUI_LNC033421)". The record is from RNAcentral. Lineage: Eukaryota; Viridiplantae; Streptophyta; Magnoliopsida; Arecales; Arecaceae.
UGAUUCACUUCAUCCUUAGACAACCUACUAUAGCUCAUACAUGACCGACCAAUCUCAGACCACCUAGUGUCAACAUUCGCUCCAUGGUCUUCAGAACCUCAGCCAAGGAUAAUCUAUUAUAGCACAUCCAUAGUUGAGCUAUGCACUCCACCGACAGAUCCGUCUUUCCUUCUCCUAAAUUGGAAAAGUCCAAAUAGAAUAUAAUUCCUCCGUAAUCGAGUCUCCCGUAAAAAGAAAAUAUCUCAUCUAAAUCAAUCUACGCGAUAAAUCCAAAAAAUUAUCAAGACUCCGAGACGGAUACGACUCCAAUACCUCCCCU